Molecule: transfer RNA, 72 nt
Filed under: Caudoviricetes sp.
Lineage: Duplodnaviria; Heunggongvirae; Uroviricota; Caudoviricetes
Description: tRNA-Pro
Rfam family: tRNA
About the family: Transfer RNA (tRNA) molecules are approximately 80 nucleotides in length. Their secondary structure includes four short double-helical elements and three loops (D, anti-codon, and T loops).
Source: RNAcentral
GGGAAGGUGGGCUAAAAGGAAAGCCGCUUUGUUGGGAACAAAGAGAUGCAGGUUCGAUUCCUGCUCUUUCCG